RNAcentral lists this ribosomal RNA (432 nucleotides) under Kryptoperidinium foliaceum. Its description in RNAcentral is "partial Bacterial large subunit ribosomal RNA". It matches the Rfam family "Bacterial large subunit ribosomal RNA", at positions 2027 to 2466 of the family's 2925-position model. Lineage: Eukaryota; Dinophyceae; Peridiniales; Kryptoperidiniaceae. The record is from RNAcentral.
AGAGACUCAGUGAAAUUGAAUUCCCCGUGAAGAUGCGGGGUUCCUGCGGUCAGACGGAAAGACCCCGUGCACCUUUACUAUAGGUUCACAUUGACAUUGGAUAAUUCAUGUGUAGGAUAGGUGGGAGACUUUGAUCUUGCUUCGCUAGGAGUAAGUUAGUCGUCCUUGAAAUACCACCCUUGGAUUAUUUGAUGUCUAAUCCCUAGCAAUAGGGAGACAUUGUGUGCUGGGUAGUUUGACUGGGGUGGUCGCCUCCAAAAGAGUAACGGAGGCUUCUAAAGGUACCCUCAGUACGCUUGGUAACCGUGCGUAGAGUAUAAUGGCAUAAGGGUGCUUGACUGGGAGACUUACAAGUCGAUCAGGUACGAAAGUAGGGCAUAGUGAUCCGGUGGUUCCGCAUGGAAGGGCCAUCGCUCAAAGGAUAAAAGGUAC